Molecule: ribosomal RNA, 486 nt
Filed under: uncultured bacterium
Lineage: Bacteria
Description: partial 16S ribosomal RNA
Rfam family: Bacterial small subunit ribosomal RNA
Source: RNAcentral
GACGAACGCUGGCGGCGUGCUUAACACAUGCAAGUCGAACGCUGAAGACCUGGCUUUUGUUGGGUUGGAUGAGUGGCGAACGGGUGAGUAACACGUGAGUAACCUGCCCUCUUCUUUGGGAUAACGCCCGGAAACGGGUGCUAAUACUGGAUAUUCACUGAUCUUCGCAUGGGGGUUGGUGGAAAGGUUUGUUCUGGUGGGGGAUGGGCUCGCGGCCUAUCAGCUUGUUGGUGGGGUGAUGGCCUACCAAGGCUUUGACGGGUAGCCGGCCUGAGAGGGUGACCAGUCACAUUGGGACUGAGAUACGGCCCAGACUCCUACGGGAGGCAGCAGUGGGGAAUAUUGCACAAUGGGCGAAAGCCUGAUGCAGCGACGCCGCGUGAGGGAUGGAGGCCUUCGGGUUGUAAACCUCUUUCGCUCAUGGUCAAGCCGCAACUGUGGGUUGUGGUGAGGGUAGUGGGUAAAGAAGCGCCGGCUAACUACGUG